RNAcentral lists this antisense RNA (497 nucleotides) under Streptomyces longwoodensis. RNAcentral describes it as "Saccharopolyspora sRNA 350". It matches the Rfam family "Saccharopolyspora sRNA 350". Lineage: Bacteria; Bacillati; Actinomycetota; Actinomycetes; Kitasatosporales; Streptomycetaceae. The record is from Rfam by way of RNAcentral.
GUGACCGUGGAGUCGUGGCGGGCGUCCGGGUCCAGCAGGGCGUCCUCACCGAAGUGGUCGCCGUCCGCGAGGACCGCGAGGACGAUCUCCCCGCCGUACUUGCCCUCGGCGGUCCGGCUGAGCCGGCCGUGGGCGAUGAGGUGGAUCCGGUCCGCGGGGCUACCGCGUUCGACGACGACCUCGCCGGCCGCGACGUCGCGCUGGACGCAGCGGUCCGCGAGGGCGGAGAGGACGUCGGUGUCCUCGAAGCCGCGCAGCAGGGCGAGUUCGCCGAGCUCCCGGGGGAUCACCCGGACCGUGGCGCCCUCCUGCACGAACUCGAUGCGGCCGUCGCCGACGGUGUGGCGCAGGCGCCGGUUGACCCGGUAGGCACCGCCCUCGGCCUCCACCCAGGGCAGCAUCCGCAGCAGCCAGCGGGAGGUGAUCUCCUGCAUCUGCGGGGCGGACUUGGUCGUGUGGGCGAGGGUGCGGGCGGCGGCGGUGCUGAGGGACUGCCG